Long non-coding RNA from Oryzias sinensis (Chinese medaka), 5934 nucleotides. The record is from Ensembl. Lineage: Eukaryota; Metazoa; Chordata; Actinopteri; Beloniformes; Adrianichthyidae.
GUUUUGUAAUGGUGUUUGGGUAAUCUUUGCAGGUUCACUAAUGAUCUACCGAUGGAUGUAGAAGUCUAGAGAAGUAUCUGAAAAACAAACAGAUAUUGAGUUUGGUGUUUAGAACAUUUCGAUCUGUCCAAUUGUUGAUUUUAAUUUGGUUUUGGGGGGAAAGGAAUUUAGUCUUUUUAAGUCUCUUUUCUUUUCAUUUUCAGGUGGAACUCUGCAGGUUUAAUAGCGCAAGAAAACCAUCUUUCUUUGGAUCUCUGAAUCUUUGUUUACAAGUCUGAUGGAUUCUGGGAUAUCUGCUACAAAAAGGGUUUAAAAGUGUUUAAAUUAAACUAAAGAUCAGUCUACAGAAACUCCUCGCACACAAAUACAUCUUUGACAGACUAAUGCCAAACAGACUUCCCCCUGCUUCUUCAGAUCUCCUCUCCCCCUCGUCUGUGUGAACAUGCACAGACAUGUUCGGAAAGACCAGAAGGGAAACCCCCAAUGCAUGCAGCGGAAGCACUUUGCAUCCUGAAUCACAGGAUCUGUAAGCACAAAGGACAUAUGACUUACAGUACAUAUCUUUGAUUUUCAGGAUUUCCUUGAUGUCUGGUAUCCAGAUUUCUGAGCAGGUGAGGGGGUUAAAACCAAGCUGAAUUUGGGUGUAGGAGGCGGGCAGAUGGACAGACUAAGAAAAUCAGACAGAGACCUUUAUGAAUAUGGAUGGCUGUAACGAAUACGCUAAAAUAGGUCAAAGCAGUGAUCUGGCUGCACGUGUGCUCUUUAGAAAUUCCAUAUAAAUUUGCAUGUGGGUCAGCUCUUUCUUUGAGGAACUGUUUGACCUUUGACCAUGCCUCUGUUUCCCCCUACAACCCACAUGCCCACACCCAUUUCACCUCUUCCCAUCCGGGACAGCUGUCAGCAUGGACCUGGCCAAAGAAAAGGGACCCAUCUGUCGUCUUCCUUCAAAGCUUACAACCCCUCACAACCCCAACCCAUCGUUAUCGGUGCAGCAAAAAUGGUGACCAAUAUCAGAGCUAUCCAGUCAUACAGUUUUGAGCCAGAUGCCAGCUCAAAACAAAAACGUACACGGAUCUAUUUGUCUGCAAGCGGAUGCAUCAGUGUGGAGGGAGCAGGGAGCUUGUGACUUGCUGACUGUAGCACCUACGUCACUGCUACAGGCAUUUUUCUUCUGCACCUGAUUCACAAAAACUUGAUUACAGAAACACUCAGUAAAUGCAAUUUUAUGCUCUUUACAUAUAUCCUCCAUCAUAAGAAAAAUGAUACAAAAACUUGUUAAUAACACCAAAAAUACAGUGUUCUUCAUUUAGCUUAAACGUGACUCAAUGUGUUUGUAAGUUUAAGGUUUAGAAUCCCAUUACAAAUUGCAAUAACCAAAUGUUAAACGUUAUACUUUUUAAUCUUUUCUAGAAAAAAAGGGGGAAAAGGACUCAUCAAUUUCCAUUUCAUGCUUAUUUUAGGAAAAACCAACACAUAUACAAAAGCCAAACAUGUCACUUUUAUCCAUGUAAGCAGAACAAAAGCUACAGGGAAUUUGGCUCAAAUAUGUUCCAAGUCGCGAAUUGCACUUUCAUGAUCUAACAGCUGUUUUCUUUUGAAGAGGAUUUUAAAUUGGAAUUCCCCUGAAGUUUCUACUUUUUUUUCUAACAUGAAGGUCCAAACAUUCCCCUCUGAAACAUUCCCCCUUGUUCAACAUCAAAACAGCACUGCAGGUGAUUUAUCACGGUUUUUUAAAGCAGGAGAUUAUAUUUGAUUUUUUUCCCAAGUUGUAAACCACAGUCCAGCUAUGGUCAAUAAAAUUAUCUUCACAUGUAAUGCUGUGCUGAGAGUUAUGAACAAUAAAAGCUUCUGUGUUAUCAUGCAACCUGGGAGGAAUGGAAAAGGAUCUUUGUUCAAGAUUACAGUGAAAGUACAUCGUCUUUAAUGACUUUGUAGAAUAGAUUAAAAGUUUAUUAAAGACAUUAUUUUUUUACCGUUGUUAUACCAUGGUCCGGGUGAAUUCUCAAUUCUGAUUGGCUUCUGGGUGUGUGUUAAAAAGUGAUAACGCACAGUGAUAACACACAGUGAUAACACACACGCCUAAGUUCCAGUUACAUAGCUUGAACGUUCUGAAUCACUGCACUGGCUUCUUUUAAACAAACUUUAGCUUCAUCAUUUGGACAAAAACAAGUAGUAAGAGGUGGACUUUCUCUCUGAACUGAUGCUUUAUUUAACCCAUCGUGACGACCAGCAGAUAUAUAUUUUUUUCUUUUUACGCUGAAGUCAAGGUCCGACCCCACUCAGCCGCUUAAUGUGACAACACGUAACAAAUAGUCAGUUUUUUGUGAAAAAAGCGAUCUGAACCGAAAAAGAAUAACAAGAACAAGUAAAAACUGAUUUAAUAUUUAUUUCUUUUGUAAGUGACCAUGGUAUAAGUAGGUUAAUGGCCUUUGAUGUGUUCAUCAACCGUCCGAGGUGAAGCGGAGGCUUCCACGGCGUCCGUUAAUUUCGUAUUAAUUAACCCUUAUGUGUAAUAUUUGGUUUCAUCUGUUCACAGGAAUAAACGACUUCUAAUCAAAUUUAGAUUAAAAUAAUUGACUACUCUUUUCAAUCUAUUUUUAAUAGUAGAGGAUGUUUACUGCUUAAGGACUAAACUACUCACUAGAAAAAAGUUGGCUAUGCCUGACAUUUUAACCAUCCACUUAGGUGAUCAAAACAUUAAAACAGCCACUCAGGAGAAUGCACUGUAGAAAUGUCAUUUGUCUGAUUACAUUUAGUUUUCUCAAUAUAACAGUUUAUGACAGCAGUCCUUCUGCAAUGUAUUUCACUAAUUGUGUCUGAAGUUUGGCAAAAAUAGAGAAUUUUGGAACUACCUGCAGAAAAUGUAAGGAAUCUUUUUCCCUUUUCUUUUUUCCCCUCUGUUUUUCAUAAAUGAAAAAAGAAAAUAAGCACACACACAAAAAAGAAAGAUAUAUGGGUGAAAAAAAGAACCUGUCAAUCCAUAGACACACAUUUAAAGGACCAAUAAUGUCUGACAUAAUUCUAGGGAAUAUAAAAAAGUGGCAAAGCCAUUUUGACUAAAUUCUCUGCCAAACUCAAUGUUGUUCUUAAAAGCGAAUAGAGUGAGGAAAAAAUGUUUUUUGCCUUUGUUUUCCAUUGAAAAAACCCGCCUUCAGUAAAACAAAAACACAAAUUCUACUAAAAUGGAAAUAGCUGUCUUAUAGAACUGUCAUCCCACAGGGUUGUCAUAAAUAGUAAAUAUAACAAUAAACAAAAUUUUUGAAACCAGACUGUCGAGUAAAGAGGACAACAAGUCCACAUGGUAUGACUCAACUUCAAUGCAGACUAUACAUACUUUACUUUUUGGUGUAAAUUUAGCAUUUUUAACAUGGAAGUCAAUAAAUAAAAAACUUUACCCUUUAGGAACCAGAUUUCCAGUGGUCAUUUGAGGAAUUGCAUCAUGUAGUAUUUGCAGGAUCACUUUUGGAAUGAACGAUGAGAACUUAAAAAAGGAAGGUAGAGUUUACCCGGUUUCUAAUAUUACAACAAAUAUGAAGCAAAAGUUUUGCUUUAUGUAUUCAUAAAUAAUCUAUUUUAAACAACUCCGGUAUUUAUUUUGAACAGUUAAACAAUCUAUAUACUUUUUUCAAUUUUGUCUUAAGAAAUGCUUAUGACAAAUAUUUUUAUUUUGUAACCCCAAAAGGCUCAUUGACUUUAUCAAAGCAGUCAAAAUAAUAGCGCUUCAUGCACAAAGCCAACAUUUUCUCCCUAUUUCUGCUGUCAAUUAGUAUUUGUGCUUUUUUUUUUUUUUUUUUGCUGCCCAAUUUUUUCUUUUCCCAAAUCUGAGAGACUCUAAAAGUUGAGAAGUAAGUGACUGGAAUAAAAGUGUUCCACCAAAACACAGAGCUGCAAGUGUAGACUGUGUGGUUACACAAUGUUAUGCAGCAGCAUCUCACAGACUCAGCUUCUUUCAUUAGCUGUUGCCAGUGAGAGUUUAUGUGCCAACCGCUGCUGUUGCAUGUAGGAUGUUAUGCUUGUGGACAGCAGAUACAGAUCACUUUCCUUCUGUCACUGGGGUUCUUCAAGUCACACUACAAAGAUAAACAUGCAGCAUCUUUCCUAAACUUACUUGGUGCUGAAGAUAUUUAGUUCCCCAACAACAGUUUUUAUAGUCUUUGUGAUCACAGGAACCAAAUGAUCAAUAUCUGUUCACCUCAGAUUCAAUCACUUACUGCUGACAUUUGACAGGUGUGUGACCCACAAAACUAAACAAUUUCAGAUGAAUUUCUUCUCUUUUGUUCUUUCAUAACCCAAAAAUGUUUCCUGUGUAUGUGUUUGGCUUUUUAAAAAAAUUAUGUCACUUAUGUGAAAGUUGCAAGCUAGUAAAUAUGCAGUUUUUUUUUAAAAUAAAAUCUGCUUUGUUUAGCAGAUUUCACAAACUACCUCUUCAUUUUCCAUAGUCCCACACGCCUUUUUUUUUCUCUUGGUACAGGAAGACAUGAGUAACGUUAAAAGAGACUUUUUAACACCAUCUGUCUUAGUAAUUUAAUCAUUACUAGAGUGCAUUACCUUUGGCACAAACAUAUUGUUUCCCCUAAGUGGGCCAUUCAAAUUGACAUGAUUGGUUACUUGUGGGUUUUAAAUUUCAGUUGAUAUUUGGGUGGGUUACUGACUUAACAUUGCACAUAAGUAGCAGGUCAUGAGUGGCUUUCUCGGGUAGCCUGUUUUUUUCUUUUUUUUUUCUUUAAUAUUACCCAAAGGAAAAUCCCAGUUUUAUAAAGUAGGUCUCUGUCAGUGAAGUAUGGUUGCUUGGGCAGGUAAAAUCAAUACUGUUUCUAUGGCACUUUACGAGGGCAUACACUAUUCACAUCGACACUCAACAGUCAAGAUGGGACAGAUGGAGAAGCAUUUCAUUUUUAUAAACCAAACUGCGCAAUGUGUGACCAAAAAAAACAUGUUUUUUUCGUUCUUUUUGUCUUUUUAGGCCAGCCUUUUUGUCAUAAACCUUUUCCCUCAAAGAUAUACACAGUAUCUAUUUUCAGCUUGUUAGGACAAUUAUGGCCCACCAUGUGUUUUUUAUGCUCUGUACCCUGCUGUCCCAAAGCCUUGUAAAUUAGUACUGCUGCCAUAUACUGAGCCUAUUCCUUAAAUGUGCCGUAACUACAAAGGAGAUCAUAUUCUUGCUGCAAAGUUAACAUUUGUAAAGUGUACACUCCCAAAGUUAUUUCAAGGCAGAGGAUAAAACGGUCUAUACUCUUUUUAGUUUUCAAAUAACCAGGUUCCACAUCUGAUUAACCUUGUUCCUUUGAUUAACCUGGUUAUGUCUCUGCCCAGUGCCAAACCACCUCCUUGCAAUCUCAUCCUAAAUCAAAGGAAAACCCUAACUACAUUGUAAAAGGAUCCCAUCAUCAACAUCCUGCAAAAAAAAGAAAGAUGCAGUUAUCCUAAAUGUAGUGAAGUUUAAUACAAUCAGUACCAUCAUAAAUGAGCAACUAAAACAAGGCCCUACCAGUGGCUACAAGAAGAAUAUUAUGGACGGUUUACUGGAGCUUGUGACAGUCCAAGUUACUGACAAACAACCCUAUUAUAGAUGGCAUCUAUGACCUCCCAAAAAUAAUUGUCACCACAGUUAGAUGGAGACAGCUUCACGAGUUGGACUAUGAGAAAGGACAAAAAUGACUUUGGACCAAAUCUGCUAAGUACUGAAAAUGUGCCUCAAAACAACAUAAUUCCAGUUCCAAGAACCACUUCUAGAGGCUAGUACAUGGUUGUGCCAUGGGCUCCCCAGUUUCAACCAUUAUGACCAACAUUGAGGAAGUGGGGAGAAAUGAGCCAAAGUGUCCACAAGCAAUGAAGGUGGGAAUAAAGAGGAACAGUGUGCUUGCCAACCCCAGAGAACCUGCAAAUAUCCAAUAUCUGCUUUCUCCAAAUUCCAGAUCCAGUAGUACAGCAGAA